CCUCCUUUCUAAGGAGUACUGUGGGGCAACUCACAGGAAGGUCGAACCGGAAUUGACAGACUCCUGCAUACCAAUUAUUUAUUUGGGCUUGUAGCUCAGGUGGUUAGAGCGCUGCCCUGAUAAGGCAGAGGUCCGUGGUUCGAGUCCACGCAGGCCCACAGGCUCUAUCCUAUCUGCUUGGGGCUAUAGCUCAGUUGGGAGAGCGCCUGCCUUGCACGCAGGAGGUCAUCGGUUCGAUCCCGGUUAGCUCCACAAUAUUUUUUUGCUUUUUGACAAUUGGGAAAUUGGAAAACUGAAUCAUUUUCUUUAAUGAUUCAAGUAGCCAAGUCAUCUUCAAGAAAGACACUUUAGUAAAGCUACUAAAGGCGUACGGAGGAUGCCUAGGCACAUGGAAGGCGAUAAAGGACGUGAUAAGCUGCGAUA
This 423-nucleotide transfer RNA is filed under the name uncultured delta proteobacterium. RNAcentral's name for it is "partial 16S-23S ribosomal RNA intergenic spacer". The stretch from base 85 to 158 matches the Rfam family "tRNA". The record is from RNAcentral. Lineage: Bacteria; Deltaproteobacteria.